GGAACUGGGAGUAAUACCGUAUGUGCCCUUCGGGGGAAAGAUUUAUCGCCUUUUGGAUUAGCCCGCGUUGGAUUAGGUAGUUGGUGGGGUAAUGGCCUACCCAAGCCGACGAUCCAUAGCUGGUUUGAGAGGAUGAUCAGCCACACUGGGACUGAGACACGGCCCAGACUCCUACGGGAGGCAGCAGUGGGGAAUCUUAGACAAUGGGGGAAACCCUGAUCUAGCCAUGCCGCGUGAGCGAUGAAGGCCUUAGGGUUGUAAAGCUCUUUCAGCUGGGAAGAUAAUGACGGUACCAGCAGAAGAAGCCCCGGCUAACUCCGUG
Molecule: ribosomal RNA, 322 nt
Filed under: uncultured bacterium
Lineage: Bacteria
Description: bacterial SSU rRNA
Rfam family: Bacterial small subunit ribosomal RNA
Source: RNAcentral